Acinonyx jubatus (cheetah) is the source of this 6313-nucleotide long non-coding RNA. RefSeq lists it as uncharacterized. The transcript has 3 exons. The record is from RefSeq and is a predicted model, not a curated record. NCBI's taxonomy places the organism in Eukaryota, Metazoa, Chordata, Mammalia, Carnivora, Felidae.
GCGGCCCGGGACUGGGGUCGCCUCGGGGAGCCCCAGCGACCCCGGGACGCGCGGGGCACCGUCCCCGCAGCCGGGCGCGGCCCGACUCCGCGGCGCGACCAAACUUUCCGCGCUGCCCCCGCCCCCACGCGGCCGGGGCGCGUCUCCCCGCGGAGCCCGGCCCGGCACGUGACGGCCAGGCACAAAAAUAAACGCGGCCGGGACCCGGGGGCCGCGGGGACACCCCACUCCGCGAGCGCUCGCGCCCCCCGCCCGAGCGGGCCUGCCUCCGGGCCGCAGCGCCCGGCCGGCGCCUACCUCUCGGACUUGGUGAACUUGCGGAACGCCUGCCGCAGGUCGUGGAAGGAGCGGUAGGUCUGGGGCUCGGCCGAGAUGCCCUGCGCCCGGGUGGUGCGCGGCCCGAUGUGCGGCGAGGGCGCGGGCAGCACCGACUGGCACUUGUGCAGCUUCCGCUUCAGCUCCUGGAUCUCCUCCUCCUUCUCCGACAGCCGCUUCUCCAGCUCCCUGAUGCGCUCCUCCUUGAGCAUGAGGAUCUGGGCGAAGUCCUCCUGCAGCUCGCUCAUCUUCCCGCCGAGCCCCUCCGCCCAAGUUUGCGCGGGCCGGGGCGGCGGGCGGGCGGGCGCGGGGGGCGAGCGCGGCGGGCGCGGACCCCGGAGCCGGGCGGGCUGCGAGCCCCUAGCGCCGAGCGGCCGGGGAGCGAGCGCCCAGGGCAGGGACGGGACGUCUGAGCGCGGAGCGGCGGCGAGGCCGAGCGCUAAUCCCCAGGCUCUCGGGGGAAUAGGUGAUUAUCUUUCAUUGAGAAACCAAUUAGAGCUGCCCGGCCUCCCCCGGGACCCCCGCCCCCGGGCGCUCCGUGAGAACCCCGCGCGCGCCGCCCGCCGAGAGCCGGGUGGACCAGACAGCCGGCCGUCACCCCAUCGCCCAGCGAGCGCUCCCACACGCUAUAUGGUACCAAAGGGAAGGGGCGGGGUGGGGGGAGCUCGAUGCCACUCGGUCCUCGAAAUAGCAACAAUCACCAUGUGAUCUGGCAGAUGACGCAGCGCUUGUAACCGGAGCCUAAAGACUUUGUGGGGUGUGUGUGUGUGUGUGUGUGUGUGUGUGCGCGCGAGAGGGUGAGAGGGUUCAUGAACACCGCGCCGCCUUCACCCGGCAGCCGCCUUAAUUCACCUUGCUUUUCACUGUCCGCUUCUCUUCUGCUCUGGAUCAGGACUAUAAGGAAGGCAGGUGGAAAUCUAGGUGCUGAGAGUGAGCGUGACCACGGACACACAACCAGCAAGGAAAUGGGGACCUCAGUCUUACCGUGGCAGAAAACAGUCCUGUCCCAGCCAUGACAGCUUGGAAGAUGACCCUGAGGCCCAGAGGAGAGUGUAGGCUAGUUGGCAUGUUGGCCUCAGCCUUAUGAGACCUUGAGCAGGGAAUCCAGCCAAGCCACGCCCAGACUUCUCACCUCCAGAACAGUAAGAUAAGAGAGAGACAGAGCGAGCAAGCAGGGAAGGGGCAGAGAGAGACAGAGAAUCCCAAGCAACCUCUGCACUGUCUGCAAGGAGCCCGAUGUGGGGCUCGAUCUCACUAUACCGUGAGAUCAUGACCUGAGCCGAAACCAGGAGUCAGACACUUAACCGACGGAGCCACCCAGGGGCCCCUACUUCAAGCAUGUUUUACCAAAAGUGUUCUGAAAGUCAGAAAAUAGAUAUACACGAUAUAGAAUUCAGAAAACACAAAAGGAUGUUGGGGUGCCCCAGCCACCCUGACCCCCUGUAUGGUGACACCCAUUCGUGAUUGCCAUUCUCUUGUGUAUGCCUCACUAUUGUAUUCUCAUGUAAGUAAGCAUAGCUAUACAUAAAUACCUAUUUUUACACACAUUUGACACCGAAGUGUUAAUAUCUGCUCUGUAUGUUAGCUUAUUGCCUAGCUUAGUGCUAUAAUUUCCCGACUUUGAGAACACUAGGAGACGUUGUCCCAUUGUGUGACAAAAUCCUGGGUGACAGGAGUUCCUCCAGUAACUUCAGGGAGUGUGCCCUUCCUUCGUGCAGACAUUAUUUAUACUUCUUCUUAACCUUAAAGAUAUUGGGCAUCUUUAUUAAAUAUUCUUACUGAAAACUUCACAAUGGUCUGAUGCUUUCAGAGAACAAGGCAGGCAUUCUUACCUACAUACAUCUUUAAAGGAUGUGAUAAAAUUAGCACCUGCUCUUUGUUGAUGGAGACACGCAUCUGGGCUCAUCCCAGGUUGUUCCGAAUUAAUGAUCCUCAUGUACAAAAAAGCUAAGAAGCCAUCACUAGGGAUAAGGAGCACUGUAUUUUGACAGCCUCUGAGCCUUUAUAAAUAACACGUUUUGGUUUUUUUUGUUUUUGUUUUUGUUUCUUUUUGGUCUCCAAUCAAAACUGCAUAGUUAGCUGAAGAGAAUCCAUUUACUAGUUCUGGUCCCAUGAGGACACAUUUAUUUGGAAAUUAUUUUCUCAACCUAUGUGGUCAUUUAUUAUAAAAAUAUAAUUUGUUUUUAUACCUGGGGGGGGGGGGAAUAGUUGCAUGGAACCUACUGUAUUCCGGGACAUAUUCAAACUCUCAUAUUUACAGCUGACACUCCCCAGAGCCGUGUUCGUUAGAUCUUCUCCACCCGUGCUGCAGAGGGCAACAAUUUAGAAGGCCUAGCAAAGCGGGAGAGUGCAAGAAACAGCUCCAAAGUCUCCCAGAUUAAUCUGAAGUAAUGGCUUUCGUUACAAUGAAACAACUUUGCAUCGAAACACGCUUUGGCUGAGCAGAUGUCUGCCCCUCCCCGCAGGGUGGCUUUUCAGCACCCAUCGUUCGCAGGGAGCAGAGAGGUGGCAGGAAGACAGAGGAUAUUGAACUAAGAAGACACGAUACCCACAGCCCUUCAUUCAAGACUUCAUCCGCUAAAGGGAGAUCACUUUACAGAGUGCAGGCGGGCAGACGUUACUCAGACUGUGGCUAAAAUCAUCAGCAAGAAACCCUGCCAGGAAUGCCUCAGUGUAACAUGAGGUGGUGCUGGAGUGUGUGCGUGCGUGUGUGUGUGUGUGUGUGUGUGUGUGUAUUUCAGUCACGGCCCUUUUCUUCUAAAUCAUCUUCUCUAGCUGGGGUCGGUCAGUAAACGCAAGCUCUUCCUUAAAAACUGCCUCCACUCAGGACAUUUGGAUAGUUCCACGUUAAGAGCAGGCAUGGAGUGAUUUUCAGGACAGACGGGAAAUGCCACAAGUUGUUGGGGAUCAGCCUCCAGUGUGUUGUCAUCAAUCAGGAGUGUCCACUCCCUCCCCUCCACAGCCAAACCGAUUUACCUUUGGCACAAAUGUCAAGUUAGCAUUCUAGGAAAGGCACGGGAGAAAGGCCAUUGACGUCAGGAAUCAUUUUAUUAAGAGACGAACCAUGACUCCUGCAUUGUUCCUUUGAAAGGGAAACAAAGAAACCAAAAAAGCAAUGCCUGCAUUUACCUGAACGGAUGUACUUGGCUUCAUUCAUUCAAGUAUUUUUGCUCACUUUUCUGCAGGUCCCAGGCAUGCCACUGGAUGACUGGGGACACACAGAGACAGGUAGGACACAGUGUCCACCCUCCAGAAACGGACGAACGUGUGGAAGCAGCCGAGAGGUGGACACACAUACGUAAAUGACUAUCGCAAAGCUGUAGUGAAAAAUGAGGUUAUCCCGGUGCAAAGGAAGGGGCGGGGGAAACACUGGAUCCUUGAGUGUGUGUGAAUGUGAGUGUGAGAGAGAGGCAGAGAUGUAGUGCCCACCAGAGAGCAAGAAUCACCACAUCACCGAUUGAUACGUGCCCACUUUGUUGAAAUCGAAGGAUUAACUUGGUAAACAAAUGAACGAGGUAGUUGAAUUUCCAGUGUGGGAGACAGAAGGCCACACGCUUCCUGGAAAGUCUACGUGGAGAGACUAGGGCCGUGUGGAGGCCCCUCCAAGGACUGUGAAUUUUAUCCUAGGAGGCACUGAGGAUUUAAUAAAAUGCCAUAACCAGGGAAAUUGUACAGUAAGUGACAUAUGGAAAGUUCCAAAGUGAUAUUUGAAAACAACCAACUAUAUGUGUAGCACCCAUAAAGUGAUACUACAGUGUCCCCGCGGGAUUUUAUGUUCGUUCAAUUCUGCAAAGACUGCUUUUUCCUUGUGAGUGUGCAAAUCCAUUCACCAGGAAAAUUGGGUUAAGAUAAUCAGAUUACAGAAAUACCGUUCCCGGACAGAGCGACCCUUGUGGUUCUGAACACGUGUGUUUGUUUAACAGCUCACACCAUACAUUCGAGCUAUCGUUCUAUUUGUGGGAGAACGGAGUCCAUUUAUCGCUUAGAAAAAUUAAAUCAUGUUCCCAAUAAAGACAAAAUUAAUAAGUAGCAAAAUUAAUUAAUAUACAGGGUAGUGGGAAAUGCUUAUUAGCUUGUAGCAUGCGAGAGGGCAGUUUUUCAGAUGCUACUACUCAGGGGGCUGUGUGUGUAGGAAAGGAGGGAAAAGGGGGGGUGGCUAUCAGCAUGAGCAAGGAGAAAACAUUUUAUUGAUGCGUCAUCUUUAACAGUAAAAAUUGAUGAUGCUAUACUCAGAAAAUGAAGAGUAGUGUGUUUGGGGCGCCUGGGCAGCUCGGUGCGUUGAGUGUCCUACUUUGGCUCAGGUUAUGAUAUCAUAGUUCAUGGGUUUGAACCCCACGUCAGGCUCUUGGCUGUCAGCACAGAGCCCACUUUGGAUCCUGUCUCCCUCUCUCUUUCUGCCCCUCCCCCAUUUGUGCACGUGUGUGUGUGUGUGUGUGUGUGUGCUCUCUCUCUCAAAAAUAAAAAAAAGAGUAGUGUGAUUAAUCAAAAUUCCCUGAAUACUAUGCUAUAUCUCACCAGAUAGACUUAUCUGUACAUUCAAUGCAAUUCCAACAAUUUUCAGGGUAAAAGUUGAUGAGUUGAUCUUAAAAUUCAUAUGAAACAAAUAUUUCAAGAUUUAAAAUAACGAAAACACAACAAAAACUAUGGUCCUGGACUGUCAACCCUCAAGUGUACUGUAAGGCUAUAAUAAUUAAACCAAUGUGAUCAUUUCCUUUUUAAAAAUGGGCCAAGGAAAACACAUAGUUUAGAAGCCAAUCCUUAUCUAUGUGGAAAUGUAAUUUAUUAUAAAAGUAGCAUUUCAAAUUAUUGGAGAACUAAUGUUCACAAAUCAGAAGAAAAUUUAUGUAAUACAGAUUUUAAAUAUAUUGUAUAUGUUUAUUCAAAUAUAACAUAUGUAUAUGAUGUUUUCCCCACUUUUCAAUAUGCUGAAAUAUACAUAACAUCAAGUUUACUGUGUAACCAUUUCUCAAUGUAUAGCUUGGUGACAUUAAGUCCACUCACGUUGUUGUGCGAAAAUCCCACCAUCCCUCUCUACUACUUUUCCAUAACUGAAACUCUGUCCCCAUUAUACAGGAGCUGACUUCUCCCCUCCCCCAGCCCCUGGGAACCCCCAUCCUCCUUUCUGUAUAUAUGCCUUUGACUUCUCUGGGUACGUCGUUUAAGAGCAAUUCUACAGUAUUUGUCCUGUGACUGGCUUAUUUCACUUUGCGUAGUGUCCUCAAGUUUCCAUGCCGUAGCAUGUAUCACAACUUUCUUCCUUAAGGCUGAAUCAUAUUCCAUUGUGUGUAUAUAAUCACAUUUUGUUUAUGCAUGCAUCUGUCGAUGGAUACUCAGGUGGCUUCUCUCUUUUGGCUCUUGUAAGACCACUGUGCUUAUUGGUGCACAAAUAUGUAUUUGAGUCUCUGCUUUCAAUUCUUUGGGGUACAGAACCAGCAGGGAACUUGCUGGGUGAUAUAGUCAUCCUCUGUUUCAUCACAGAGAAUGUUUUGUAAACAUAUAAAACAGAGCUGGGAUCCAUAACAUGCAAGGACUCCCUAAAGGUCAAUAGAAAUACCAAAAUUCCAACACAAAAUGACAAAAACAAAGACAUUCAUCUUUGCUAAUGAAAUUCACUUUUGCCUAUCAAAUUGGCCAAACUUAAGAGAUUGGUAAUACUCCUUCAUGUCAAUGUUGUCCUAAGUGGGCUCUCCUAAAUACAAGUAGGUGCGUAAGUUGUUCAUCUUUUGUAGCGAGCAAUUUAACGGUAGCCACCAAAAUCGUAAGAAUACAUUUGCUUUUACUCAGCCGUCCUACCUGUAAAAAUUAAGCUUAUAACAUGAUUCAUGUUUAUAUACAAAGAUUGCUGGUGGGAGGGACGGGUAGUGAGAAGAGCGCCUGGGUGGCUCAGUCAGUUGAGCAUCCGACUUUGCUUUCGGCUCAGGUCAUGAUCUGGAGGUUCGUGGGUUCCAGCCCCGAGUCUGACAGUGCAGAGCCUGCUUGGGAUUCUCUCUCUGUCCCU